This 2216-nucleotide long non-coding RNA is filed under the name Equus asinus (donkey). RNAcentral describes it as "lncRNA (ENSEASG00005037514.1)". Lineage: Eukaryota; Metazoa; Chordata; Mammalia; Perissodactyla; Equidae. The record is from RNAcentral.
CAGAGAUUGGACACCUCCAGUUGGCUGUCAACUUUGCAUUAAAUGCAUUGCCUUUGAUGGAAAGAAAUACACUGAAUGCAUAAAUUGCAUGGGAACAUGAGGGUGGUUGCACUGAUAAUGAGAGCAUAUAAAGAGAAAAGCAAUAGAGACAAAUUGUACUGACACCCAGGCCAGCCAGGCCAAGCAGCAGUUUAGUGCUUUAAGAAGUCCCCGAAAAAUCUAUUCCCACCUUGUUGGCUCAUACACAAAAUUCUACUCACUCUAUUUGAUUCUUUCACUUAAAGUGAUGGUGGCUCUAGAACCAUAAUCUUUCACAUAGCCACAGAAUUCUGCAGCCACAAAGCGCUUUCGUAACAUAGUCUGCCUUGAUCCACAGCAAUGUCCUGAACAGUAGACAGAGUAGAGAUUAGUAUUCCCAUUAUGUAAGUUCAAACUGAAACUUAGGAAGAUAAAGAGACUUGCCCAAAUUCACUUAAGCCAAGGUGGGUGAGCUGGGCCUGGAAGAUGAACCUCCUGACUCAUGGCCUCUGCCCUCUAUCAAAAGAUGACCCCAGACAGUCAUGGCGAUGUGACACUCCUUUCAUGGAGGGAAAAAGUAAAAGCGUGUAUCAGCUAACUUGAGGAUGUCUUUGGCCAAGGGCUGGCCCUAUAAACAAGAGCGAAAAGAAGGAACAAACAUUGUUGCGGGCAGAGCCAAACUAAUGGGUGAUCUGACAGGACAGACGGUUUUGCCACCAUCACUAGAAAUUUAAGGAGGUGGUGAAAAUUCUGCUCACCAGAAGGCCUCAGGGAGAACCCUCCAGAUGGUUGCAAGAACUGCCUUCUAAGGAGUUAACAAGAGCCUUGUGCAUUCCUCUAUGGGACAUGCCAACAGAAAUGGUGCUACUAUUUCCCUAAUGGCAUGGACUCUGUCCUCUGUGUAAUGAUGAAAAACACGUAAAGAACAUCGAUCAGAAGAGUGUCAGAUUACUUGGCUUCUGGGGCACCAAGAGAUCACCAUCAGGCACAAAUGACUUUCUAUAAGGCGGCUCUGUCUGAUGGCAUUACAUAUGCUCUCUCUUUUAAUGCUGCUAUAAAUGGUCUAAGAGGCAUCAUGAUCUUUGUUUUCACUUGUGACACUCAGAGAGGUUAGACAACUUGCCCAGCGUCACAGAACUGCCAGUUGGAGGAACCAGGUUUGCAUUUCAGAGUUGUCUGGCUCCAAAGUUCCCCUUUGCCCCAGACUGGCAGAAAGAUAAAUGCUGAAUCUUCAUUAAGAACCCAGAAUAGUGACCUUUUUAAACUAGCUCCUGGGUCGUUUUUCAGAGAUGUGGAUUUACAGUAAAAAUCAAUUACUCGCCAUCCUCUCUUUUCUCCUAUACCCACUAAGGGAAAGGUGCGGCAGGGCCAGUUGGCAAAUGUUUUCCACACGUAUGGCCUCAUUCUAGCCUCAUAAUAACCCUAUGAGGGGCACAAGGCAGGCACUAGUACCCUCAUUUUACAGAUGAGGAAACAGAGGCCCAAAGGGAGUUAAUGGGUUGCUCAAGGCCAACCCAGGACUUUUAACUACAGCCCCAGAAAUCUUCCUCCUCCACUAUCUCGCCAAGCCUAGCACAUGUUCAGCACUCAAUAAACUAAUGAAUUAAUAACGGAUGAUUCAAUUCAAGAACUGUAUCUCAGAAGGAUCGUGCUUUCAAAUUCCCUAUAUGCAGCUCUGCCUGUCUCCUUGCAACAGAAAACCAAGGUUCAUUAAAUGGUCAAAUCUGCAGAAGCUCCUCGUCCUGUGGGCCCCCUGAGACAGGUGUCAGAAGCUCCAUUUCCUUUCAACCUGGCAUUCUCCGCCCCCACAGAGCGCCAGCAGCCCGCCUGCAGUGCAGCGCAGCAGGACCAAUGGUGACAAGAAGCAUGUGUGGAAUUCAAGUCAGGAGACUGCAGCAGACCAGACUCGCUUCCCCAACACGGCAGAAAUGACCGUCCUGCUGUUCUAAUCUUAUUAUGAAGGUGCAGCCCUGCCUGUGCCAGGGAAGGAAAGGUGAAGAGAAAUCGCGGCUGCCCAAGAUUCUUCGGAUUAUCGUUUGCUACCUGUUGAGUUAAUCAUGGGCAGUUUCACAGAAUCCUGGACUCUCACAAUUAAGACAGCUAGAGGGCUGGGAGGCAUGGUCACUAACACACGCCUCUCACUUGCAUACUUUCAGGAACAUGGAUACUCACCACCUCCAGGUAGCACUUAGUCUGUC